AUUAUUUUUUUAGAUUCUUUUUUAUUGUUGAAAAAAUUAAAAACAAAUUGUUUUUUACAAUAAUUAAAAUUUAUAAUAUUUCAAUUUUUAAUUUUUAGUUUUAAAUAAAAAUUACAAAUAUGAAAAAUAAAAAAAUUUUGUUAUAAAUUAAAUUAAUUUAUUUAUAUUAAAAAUAUUUUUUAUAAUUUUUAUUUUUUUUAUUUUUUUAAAAAAAAAAUAAUUUAAUUAUAAUUAUUUCUUUAAAUUUAAUAAUUAAAUAUAAAAUUUUUUAUUAAAUAAAUUUAAUAAUAAAUGUUUUUUAAAUUCUUUGAGGUUUUGAUUUUUGAUUUUUUGUUUCUGCUCAUUGUUAAAGAAAAGCACUUUUAGCGUGAUUGGUCAAAGGUA
This 384-nucleotide ribosomal RNA is filed under the name Meloidogyne incognita (southern root-knot nematode). Its description in RNAcentral is "partial 16S ribosomal RNA". The record is from RNAcentral. Lineage: Eukaryota; Metazoa; Nematoda; Chromadorea; Rhabditida; Meloidogynidae.